Molecule: transfer RNA, 95 nt
Filed under: Potamon elbursi
Lineage: Eukaryota; Metazoa; Arthropoda; Malacostraca; Decapoda; Potamidae
Description: tRNA-Leu
Source: RNAcentral
GCUAUUUUGGCAGAUAAUAUGCAUUAGAUUUAGGAUUUAAUUAUAUAGCGGAGUCUAUAGAUAGUAAAGUAAUUUUUUUUAAAGCUAAUUAUUUU